RNAcentral lists this ribosomal RNA (726 nucleotides) under Dendrotrophe frutescens. RNAcentral's name for it is "eukaryotic LSU rRNA". The stretch from base 311 to 466 matches the Rfam family "5.8S ribosomal RNA". The record is from RNAcentral. Lineage: Eukaryota; Viridiplantae; Streptophyta; Magnoliopsida; Santalales; Amphorogynaceae.
AUUUAGAGGAAGGAGAAGUCGUAACAAGGUUUCCGUAGGUGAACCUGCGGAAGGAUCAUUGUCGAAACCUGCCGAGCAGGAAGACCCGCGAACGCGUUUUUGCAUCGUCGGGGAGGCGGAGCGCUCGGCUCCUCGCCCGCCCCCGGCCGGCGCGCACGCGGCGAAACGCGCGUGCCCGUCCCGGCUCUAAACGUCGAAUCCGGCGCGGGAUGCGCCAAGGAAGUGUCGCAGAGAACGGCGCUCCUCCGCGGCGCGCCUCUCGGGUGCGCUCGGGGGGGAGACUCCGACCGAUGUGUAAAGCGAACGAAACGACUCUCGGCAACGGAUAUCUCGGCUCUCGCAUCGAUGAAGAACGCAGCGAAAUGCGAUACUUGGUGUGAAUUGCAGAAUCCCGUGAACCAUCGAGUCUUUGAACGCAAGUUGCGCCCGAAACCAUUAGGUCGAGGGCACGCCUGCCUGGGCGUCACGCAUCGAGUCGCCCCCCGGACUCCCCUCUCGGGGACGGGUCGGGGGCGCGAACGCUGGCCUCCCGUGCGCGACUAUUGCGCGGCUGGCCUAAACUUUACGGUUUCCUCGGCGACGCGUCGCGGGACGAGUUCUGGACGACUGCGUCCGACUCCGUGUCGCCGUGCGAAACUCCCAGGACCCUCGAAUUUCGUCUCCUUCUCGGGGGAGACGGGGCUCACCAAUGCGACCCCAGGUCAGGCGGGGCUACCCGCUAGUUUA